UACGGAGGAUGCGAGCGUUAUCCGGAUUUAUUGGGUUUAAAGGGUGCGCAGGCGGAUUUUUAAGUCAGCGGUCAAAUCGUGGGGCUCAACCCCAUCCAGCCGUUGAAACUGGGGAUCUAGAGUGUGCGAGGGGCAGGCGGAAUUCCUGGUGUAGCGGUGAAAUGCGUAGAUAUCAGGAGGAACACCGGUGGCGAAGGCGGCCUGCUGGACAGUAACUGACGUUGAGGCUCGAAAGCGUGGGGAGCAAACAGG
Molecule: ribosomal RNA, 252 nt
Filed under: uncultured bacterium
Lineage: Bacteria
Description: partial 16S ribosomal RNA
Rfam family: Bacterial small subunit ribosomal RNA
Source: RNAcentral